RNAcentral lists this long non-coding RNA (523 nucleotides) under Phascolarctos cinereus (koala). RNAcentral describes it as "lncRNA (ENSPCIG00000033005.1)". The record is from RNAcentral. Lineage: Eukaryota; Metazoa; Chordata; Mammalia; Diprotodontia; Phascolarctidae.
GAUACAUUGAAAUCAUGAUGGGAAAGUCAUGAUAUGGAAGGGAUAACUAUAAAUGCUUAUUCCCUUCUCUUUCCCUUCCCAUUCUAGAAUUUUCCCUAGAAUCAAAGUCAAGUUCAUUGACUAAACCCAUGAAGAGGGUACUUUGAAAGAGACUAGAAACUGUCUCUCCUCCCUCCUUAGGGUACACAGAGUGGACAGCUGUCCUUGGUUUAAUCGCCAAUCCUCAUUUGCACGGCCACCAGCAAUCGGGACACAUGAGGACCAACCAUGAGCUGCUGGUUACACACAUACUUUAGCAUGUGUUGUUUCUCAGAGAGUCAAAGCACACAUACUAAUGUACUGCCACGAGAAGCAUCUCAGUCCAGCAGAUCAAGGGGCAUCCCUGCUGACUACUAUUAUGCUAAUGUACAAAUGUUGGCCUGGCUUUUUCAUUACCCAUCCAUGGAAAGAUUACAAGAAGGCUACAUAAGUACCUGCUGAGCUAAAGAAUAAAACCUCAAAGCAGAGUUACUCUGUAGGGUUU